This 686-nucleotide ribosomal RNA is filed under the name Debaryomyces hansenii. RNAcentral describes it as "partial large subunit ribosomal RNA". The stretch from base 1 to 585 matches the Rfam family "Eukaryotic large subunit ribosomal RNA", at positions 65 to 664 of the family's 3401-position model. The record is from RNAcentral. Lineage: Eukaryota; Fungi; Ascomycota; Pichiomycetes; Serinales; Debaryomycetaceae.
CCCUCGGGGAAUUUGCCUUAGUACGGCGAGUGAGCGGCAAAAGCUCAAAUUUGAAAUCUGGCACCUUCGGUGUCCGAGUUGUAAUUUGAAGAAGGUAACUUUGGAGUUGGCUCUUGUCUAUGUUCCUUGGAACAGGACGUCACAGAGGGUGAGAAUCCCGUGCGAUGAGAUGCCCAAUUCUAUGUAAAGUGCUUUCGAAGAGUCGAGUUGUUUGGGAAUGCAGCUCUAAGUGGGUGGUAAAUUCCAUCUAAAGCUAAAUAUUGGCGAGAGACCGAUAGCGAACAAGUACAGUGAUGGAAAGAUGAAAAGAACUUUGAAAAGAGAGUGAAAAAGUACGUGAAAUUGUUGAAAGGGAAGGGCUUGAGAUCAGACUUGGUAUUUUGCGAUCCUUUCCUUCUUGGUUGGGUUCCUCGCAGCUUACUGGGCCAGCAUCGGUUUGGAUGGUAGGAUAAUGACUAAGGAAUGUGGCUCUACUUCGGUGGAGUGUUAUAGCCUUGGUUGAUACUGCCUGUCUAGACCGAGGACUGCGUCUUUUGACUAGGAUGUUGGCAUAAUGAUCUUAAGCCACCCGUCUUAACAACAGGGAACAAAAAAAAAAGAAAUAAAAAAAAGGAAAAAAAAGGAAAAAAACGAAAACAAAAUAAAAUGGUUUAUUUCCGGUUAUUGUAGAAAACCGAGAAAUCAAC